This is a long non-coding RNA of Physella acuta, 856 nucleotides long. RefSeq lists it as uncharacterized. NCBI's taxonomy places the organism in Eukaryota, Metazoa, Mollusca, Gastropoda, Physidae. The record is from RefSeq and is a predicted model, not a curated record.
CCGAUAACCGGAAGUGGUACUUUUCCUUCUUUGAAUUUUUCAAAAGCCUAUAACUUGAGUACUAUUUCAGAUAGAUAAAUGAAAUUUCACUUGUAAGUAAAAGAUCUAAUUCUCUACCUUCUGUUAAAUUUUGAGUAAUUUCCGUUGACCGGAAGUAGUAAUUUACGCUACUUCCGAUUUCUCAAAAAACUAAUGUAAAUUUUAAAAGUACUAAUAAUAUUGCGCACUAUUAUGCGCUUUUUGAUUUGGCGUUCACUUGGUGUGCAAUUAAUUUGUCUACGAGAUUUUAUUCUAUUUUUAAAACUUUAAGUAUUUAAAAUGGAUUAAAAAUCAUGUCUAUAGAACUUGUAAGUUUAUCGUUCUUUCUCGCGUUAAUUCGUGUCUGGUUAGCCAGGGAGAGAUAAAAGUUUUCGAACUAAAUCAAUUGUUGUGAACGGGGUUUCCCAUUGAUAACAAAAAACAUGGCGGCUAUUUGUUAGUAGGUCCCGCUUCAAGAUUUCAAAAUCAUCAAACGUUCCAGAAAUGCAACAACUGUAAAAACUUUCAACGCUGUUUUGUUCAUAUGGAUGGGAACAAACACAUGUGUAUGCAUUUUUGAAUAUAAAAGUUUUGUGGCGGUACUUGGCAAGCAGUUUUCUCACACUUUACUGUGGCUAUUGGUGCUGAUCUUGAACUAAAGGUAAAUGGAACAGCAUGGAUGUGGAUUUUUAGACACAAGGAAGCUGAAUUUAACUUUUAAUGAAGAAUUUAAAUGAUGAUUGUCCAUGAAAAGAAAUAUUAAUCAUAUACAUUGUAAUGCUGUAUUGAUGCAUCUUCUGUUUUAAGUAAUUAAAAAACCAUCCAUUUAUGAAAUUCU